AAAACGGCCCUUUUCAGGGCCACCAAAUAUUGAAAUGUUACG
Molecule: non-coding RNA, 42 nt
Organism: Picea glauca (white spruce)
Lineage: Eukaryota; Viridiplantae; Streptophyta; Pinopsida; Pinales; Pinaceae
Source: Rfam